GUUCGUUAGUCACACUACGAAUUUUUCUUAAAAAAAAACCAGUGCCAUCCAUUGCGAAAUAGAAAACGUUCUUGGUUGAGCGUAAACCAUUUGGAGGGUUAUAAAUUAACGUCUUUCGACAGUACGAACGAAACGGAGAAGCUGGAUGUCCUCGUCAAUGAAGACAACAGUGAUAAUUAUACAAACGAUGUUAUACAAUAUCGCGCGGCGUCGCAAGACUCGCCUCGUAUCAGGAUUUUAUUAUAAUCUGCUUAAUGUUUAACGUCAAGUUAACGGGUCGCGAGCUGUGCGGUAAAUAAUAUCAGAACGUUGCAUAAAUUGGCGAUAUCUGCGAAGAGUCAGAAAAAGCGUGCGAUAGGUCGCGUCGCGAACAUGAUAGGGUGCUACGACUUUAAUCACAUCUAUGUUGUAUGAACGAAACAAUUCUAGAUCUAUAGCCGAAGAUAUUCACUUUAGAAAUGUCUUUAGAAAUGUGAAAAAGCUCGCAAAUUUUGGGACAAGUGGCAACAAAAGGAAGAUAUUCAGCAAAGGUCAAAAGAAAAAUGAAAGGGACAGGUGAGAAUAAAUAACUGUGUAUAAGAAAAUCACAUAAAUCACGUUGCGAAUAUAUGUGUCAAAAGACGUCACCGUUCAUGCAUACAUCUGUAAAUCACAUGGAAAUAAACACUAAGGUCGAUUUCCCUUUCCACGACAUACAAAGUGGUCUCCGGAGUGGCGGCUGCGCUUGUUAUUCGAAUGAUUAUGUAAAACUUAUGCGAAGCAGAGGUCGGUUGAAAGCGACGUAAAACGUCGAACGUAGAAAACGGACGAGCAGCGAAGACGGACGACGAGUUGUUACGAGUCGAGGCCGAUACACAGCAAACACAGCGCGAUAAAAUCGCGUCCCCCACAUUGAAUUUACAACGCUUGAAACUGACUUUCGGUCGCCCAAGAAAUUAAGGAAGAAAGGUCAAUGAAGAGGGGCGAGGUAUAUCGAAAUUACGCCACCCCAAUUAACAACGGAAUCAUAAGAGGCGCAUGACCUGCCCCUUUUUCGACCACAAUCAUCGCAAUGACGUUGCCAACAACCAAUGCGACCCUGCCAAGUGUCAUUACACCUUACUGCUAACCACGAUCGAGAUUGACCCACGGACGAUCAACGAAGUACAUUGCAUAUUGAUUCAGCCAGACUGAGAUAUAUAAUCGUCGUAUUCAAUGCAAAGUGUGCUGACGGCGCGUGUCACAGGCAGAUGUCACGGAGGUGAACACUACGAUACCCCAACACGAUGUGCGUCCGAACGCAAAGUUUUGAAAGAAGUGACACUAGAGUCGACACUCCACACCAGACGGCAAUACGCGCGCGACUACCGACGGAGACACUAGAUGCAAAGGCAGCCGGUCACGUGGAGGGGGUAGGGUGGGGAUAGCACUCGGCGCUCGACAAGCGGAUGGUAUAGACGUACGUCAAGCCUAUUCAUGCGAUGCCCAGUCAGACGUGGCUGUGCAGGAGUGGCAAAAGUGGUUUUACUACCAACCGAAAGCCUUGGAAGAAAUACUCAAGCUUAUGGAUGAAGUGCAUUGCCAAGGGAGGAGACUAUGAGUACCAUUAAACGGCAAAUUAAUACGGCGAAACGCACAAUUAUGCUAUAAGUGUACCACUGAAAAUCACAGUUCCUUCCCCCCCACCUUGCUUUGCGCCGUAUUUUUCUAUGUUCAUGUAACAUACUUACGUACAUACGCACACACAAAUAUUUUUAUACCGAAUUUCAUUUUCAUUAAAAAAAAGCUGAGAAAAUUGUUAUCGCUCGGAGCGGGAUCAAGCGUUACACGUCGCUCGUGCGUAGCCAUUGCCGAUUGCUAUAAACAAUUUUCCGUGCGAAUUAGGCGAUGGGCCGGGCUAGGACAAUUUUUAAUAAUUAAUUACUCGUUACCUAUUGCGAAAAUUGCAAAAUGGUACAGGACUUUUCUG
Long non-coding RNA from Vollenhovia emeryi, 1948 nucleotides. RefSeq lists it as uncharacterized. NCBI's taxonomy places the organism in Eukaryota, Metazoa, Arthropoda, Insecta, Hymenoptera, Formicidae. The record is from RefSeq and is a predicted model, not a curated record. The transcript is spliced from 5 exons.